This 781-nucleotide ribosomal RNA is filed under the name Escherichia coli. RNAcentral's name for it is "partial 23S ribosomal RNA". It matches the Rfam family "Bacterial large subunit ribosomal RNA", at positions 961 to 1744 of the family's 2925-position model. Lineage: Bacteria; Pseudomonadati; Pseudomonadota; Gammaproteobacteria; Enterobacterales; Enterobacteriaceae. The record is from RNAcentral.
ACCGGAGAAUGUUAUCACGGGAGACACACGGCGGGUGCUAACGUCCGUCGUGAAGAGGGAAACAACCCAGACCGCCAGCUAAGGUCCCAAAGUCAUGGUUAAGUGGGAAACGAUGUGGGAAGGCCCAGACAGCCAGGAUGUUGGCUUAGAAGCAGCCAUCAUUUAAAGAAAGCGUAAUAGCUCACUGGUCGAGUCGGCCUGCGCGGAAGAUGUAACGGGGCUAAACCAUGCACCGAAGCUGCGGCAGCGACACUAUGUGUUGUUGGGUAGGGGAGCGUUCUGUAAGCCUGUGAAGGUGUGCUGUGAGGCAUGCUGGAGGUAUCAGAAGUGCGAAUGCUGACAUAAGUAACGAUAAAGCGGGUGAAAAGCCCGCUCGCCGGAAGACCAAGGGUUCCUGUCCAACGUUAAUCGGGGCAGGGUGAGUCGACCCCUAAGGCGAGGCCGAAAGGCGUAGUCGAUGGGAAACAGGUUAAUAUUCCUGUACUUGGUGUUACUGCGAAGGGGGGACGGAGAAGGCUAUGUUGGCCGGGCGACGGUUGUCCCGGUUUAAGCGUGUAGGCUGGUUUUCCAGGCAAAUCCGGAAAAUCAAGGCUGAGGCGUGAUGACGAGGCACUACGGUGCUGAAGCAACAAAUGCCCUGCUUCCAGGAAAAGCCUCUAAGCAUCAGGUAACAUCAAAUCGUACCCCAAACCGACACAGGUGGUCAGGUAGAGAAUACCAAGGCGCUUGAGAGAACUCGGGUGAAGGAACUAGGCAAAAUGGUGCCGUAACUUCGGGAGAA